CCCUAUUAUAAACUAAGUGAGAUAAAUUAGUAUGUUGUAUUGAAAAUUAAUGAUUUUGGCGGCUAAUUAUUUAUUUAGAGGAGCUUGUUUUGGAAGAGUAAUAACACUUUAUAUUUAUAUAGUUGAUUUGAAGUUUAUUCAUCUCCGUUAUUAAAUAAGUUGAAGAAAGAUUUUUUCUUUAAUUUCAGGUCAAGAUGUAGCAUUGAUUUAUAGAUAAAGAUUAGCUAUUAGUAAAUUAAUUAUAAUAAUAACUAUUAUUGGGAAAUAUAAGAUAGAAUAAAAUUUAAUUGUAAUAAUAUUUACAAAGAUAAUAUGACUGAUUAUAAUUAGUGUA
Molecule: ribosomal RNA, 334 nt
Filed under: Eusarcus insperatus
Lineage: Eukaryota; Metazoa; Arthropoda; Arachnida; Opiliones; Gonyleptidae
Description: partial 12S ribosomal RNA
Source: RNAcentral